GAGUAAUGUUCUCAAGAGAGGCUGGAAGUUUGGGAUAUGAGUGGCUGAGUGGAAGUGUUGGAAUUCCUGCAGUGGAGGUAUCUCCUUGGAAACUGAGAUGGAAAAGAGUAAGGAAUGUGGAGCUCUUAACAACAGGCAAUGACAUCUGUGAAGAGCAGAUAUGAGGGCAGUAUGGAGAACAAAGCAGGCCAGGCAGGUGCCCUUGGCUUUCAGUUGCUGUUUCUUACCAGACAAAGAAAAGAUCUCUCACUCCACAAAUGCUGGUUUUGAAGAGUCUCCUGGAAGAAGAGCAUUAUCUGAAGGUCCAGAUUGUCAGCUGGUUCUCCCCCCGCAACAUUUCAGAGCUGAGAAAUAUGAAAUGCCCUAUGAUUCAGAACAGUGGUUCAACUGCCUCCAAACCAAAGCCUUUGUAUUCUGCCUGGAUGAGAACUAG
RNAcentral lists this long non-coding RNA (433 nucleotides) under Apteryx owenii (little spotted kiwi). RNAcentral's name for it is "lncRNA (ENSAOWG00000003654.1)". The record is from RNAcentral. Lineage: Eukaryota; Metazoa; Chordata; Aves; Apterygiformes; Apterygidae.